GGGUGAGUAAUACAUCGGAACGUGUCCGCUCGUGGGGGACAACCAGCCGAAAGGUUGGCUAAUACCGCAUGAGUUCUACGGAAGAAAGAGGGGGACCCGCAAGGGCCUCUCGCGAGCGGAGCGGCCGAUGACUGAUUAGCCGGUUGGUGAGGUAACGGCUCACCAAAGCAACGAUCAGUAGCUGGUCUGAGAGGACGACCAGCCACACUGGGACUGAGACACGGCCCAGACUCCUACGGGAGGCAGCAGUGGGGAAUUUUGGACAAUGGGCGCAAGCCUGAUCCAGCUAUUCCGCGUGUGGGAUGAAGGCCCUCGGGUUGUAAACCACUUUUGUAGAGGACGAAAAGACACCUUCGAAUAAAGGGUGUUGCUGACGGUACUCUAAGAAUAAGCACCGGCUAACUACGCGCCAGCAGCCGCGGUAAUACGUAGGGUGCGAGCGUUAAUCGGAAUUACUGGGCGUAAAGGGUGCGCAGGCGGUUGAGUAAGACAGAUGUGAAAUCCCCGAGCUUAACUCGGGAAUGGCAUAUGUGACUGCUCGACUAGAGUGUGUCAGAGGGAGGUGGAAUUCCACGUGUAGCAGUGAAAUGCGUAGAUAUGUGGAAGAACACCGAUGGCGAAGGCAGCCUCCUGGGACAUAACUGACGCUCAGGCACGAAAGCGUGGGGAGCAAACAGGAUUAGAUACCCUGGUAGUCCACGCCCUAAACGAU
This 712-nucleotide ribosomal RNA is filed under the name uncultured bacterium. RNAcentral's name for it is "bacterial SSU rRNA". It matches the Rfam family "Bacterial small subunit ribosomal RNA", at positions 104 to 810 of the family's 1533-position model. The record is from RNAcentral.